UACGUAGGGGGCAAGCGUUGUCCGGAUUCAUUGGGCGUAAAGAGCGUGUAGGCGGCCAGGUAGGUCGGUUGUGAAGACUGGAGGCUCAACCUUCAGAGGUCGACCGAAACCAUCUGGCUAGAGUCCGGGAGAGGAGAGUGGAAUUCCUGGUGUAGCUGUGAAAUGCGCAGAUAUCAGGAAGAACACCCGUGGCGAAAGCGGCUCUCUGGAACGGUACUGACGCUGAGACGCGAAAGCGUGGGGAGCGAACAGG
Molecule: ribosomal RNA, 253 nt
Filed under: uncultured bacterium
Lineage: Bacteria
Description: partial 16S ribosomal RNA
Rfam family: Bacterial small subunit ribosomal RNA
Source: RNAcentral